UACGGAGGGUGCAAGCGUUAUCCGGAUUCACUGGGUUUAAAGGGUGCGUAGGUGGGUUGGUAAGUCAGUGGUGAAAUCCCCGAGCUUAACUUGGGAACUGCCAUUGAUACUAUCAGUCUUGAAUACCGUGGAGGUCGGCGGAAUAUGUCAUGUAGCGGUGAAAUGCUUAGAUAUGACAUAGAACACCAAUUGCGAAGGCAGCUUGCUACACGGUUAUUGACACUGAGGCACGAAAGCGUGGGGAUCAAACAGG
RNAcentral lists this ribosomal RNA (253 nucleotides) under uncultured bacterium. Its description in RNAcentral is "partial 16S ribosomal RNA". It matches the Rfam family "Bacterial small subunit ribosomal RNA", at positions 524 to 776 of the family's 1533-position model. The record is from RNAcentral.